CACCAGGUUGAUUCUGCCUGACGUAGACGCUAUACUCUAAGAUUAACCCAUGCAUGUUUAUUGAAUAUAAAGAAAAGACGAACAGCUCAGUAACUCUUAUUUGAUUUGAUGUAUUAGGAUUCUAACUAUGUUAAAUUAUAGGUAACAAUAAUACAAUAAGAAUAAGAUCUAUCAGUUAGUUGUUAAGGUAAUGGCUUAACAAGACUAUGACGGAUAACGGUAUUACUUUGUAAUAUUCCGGAGAAGGAGCCUGAGAGAUUGCUACUAAGUCUAAGGAUUGCAGCAGGGGCGAAACUUGACCUAUGAUAUUAUAUUGAGGCAGUUAUGAGUAGUAUUUUAUAAUUAUUGUAGUAUUGUAAGUACAUAUUACAAGAUAAAUCGGAGGGCAAAUCGAGUGCCAGCAGCCGCGGUAAUACUUGUUCCGAUAGUGUGUAUGAUGAUUGAUGCAGUUAAAAAGUCUGUAGUUUAUUUAUAAUAAGCAUUGUAAGGUAUACUGUAUGGUUAGGAGAGAGAUGAAAUGUGAUAACCCUAACUGGAUGAACAGAAGCGAAAGCCGUAUACUUAAAUGUAUUAUUAGAACAAGGACGUAAGCUAGAGGAUCGAAGAUGAUUAGAUACCAUUGUAGUUCUAGCAGUAAACUAUGUUGAAUCAUAGAUAUAUUUUGAUAUAUAUUUAUGUAGAGAAAUUAAGAUUAUAUUGACUCUGGGGAUAGUAUGAUCGCAAGAUUGAAAAUUAAAGAAAUUGACGGAAGAAUACCACAAGGAGUGGAUUGUGCGGCUUAAUUUGACUCUACGCGGGGUAAUUUACCAGGUAUAACAUGGUAUAAUAUUUUAUCAUGGUAGUGGUGCAUGGCCGUUUCCAAUGGAUGCUGUGAAGUAAUGAUUAAUUUCAACAAGAUGUGAGACCCUCAUUUAGACAGAUGUAGUGAUACAUAUGAAGGAGAGGAUUAAAACAGGUCCGUUAUGCCCUAAGAUAAUCUGGGUUGCACGCGCAAUACAAAAUAUUUGAUAUUAUAAGGGAUAAUAUAAUGUAAGAUAUAUUUGAACAUGGAAUUGCUAGUAAUUUUAUUUAAUAAGUAGAAUUGAAUGAGUCCCUGUUCUUUGUACACACCGCCCGU
Molecule: ribosomal RNA, 1117 nt
Filed under: Nosema sp. SCH.F3
Lineage: Eukaryota; Fungi; Microsporidia; Nosematidae
Description: SSU rRNA
Rfam family: Microsporidia small subunit ribosomal RNA
Source: RNAcentral